RNAcentral lists this ribosomal RNA (477 nucleotides) under bacterium. RNAcentral describes it as "bacterial SSU rRNA". It matches the Rfam family "Bacterial small subunit ribosomal RNA", at positions 395 to 862 of the family's 1533-position model. The record is from RNAcentral.
CGCCGCGUGAGUGAUGAAGGUUUUCGGAUCGUAAAGCUCUGUUGUUAGGGAAGAACAAGUGCAAGAGUAACUGCUUGCACCUUGACGGUACCUAACCAGAAAGCCACGGCUAACUACGUGCCAGCAGCCGCGGUAAUACGUAGGUGGCAAGCGUUGUCCGGAAUUAUUGGGCGUAAAGGGCUCGCAGGCGGUUUCUUAAGUCUGAUGUGAAAGCCCCCGGCUCAACCGGGGAGGGUCAUUGGAAACUGGGAAACUUGAGUGCAGAAGAGGAGAGUGGAAUUCCACGUGUAGCGGUGAAAUGCGUAGAGAUGUGGAGGACACCAGUGGCGAUGCGACUCUCUGGUCUGUACUGACGCUGAGGAGCGAAAAGCGGUGGGGAGCGGAACAGGAAUAAGAUACCUUGUAGUUCCACGCCCGUAAACCGAUGAGGUGGCUAGUGGUUAAGGGGGUUCCGCCCCCCUAAUGCGUGCGACCUUA